RNAcentral lists this ribosomal RNA (253 nucleotides) under uncultured bacterium. Its description in RNAcentral is "partial 16S ribosomal RNA". It matches the Rfam family "Bacterial small subunit ribosomal RNA", at positions 524 to 776 of the family's 1533-position model. The record is from RNAcentral.
UACGAAGGGUGCAAACGUUGCUCGGAAUCAUUGGGCGUAAAGCGCACGUAGGCGGCCUGUUAAGUCGGAUGUGAAAUCCCUCGGCUCAACCGAGGACGUGCAUUCGAAACUGGCAAGCUCGAGUAUGGAAGAGGGUCGCGGAAUUCCCGGUGUAGAGGUGAAAUUCGUAGAUAUCUGGAGGAACACCGGUGGCGAAGGCGGCAUCCUGGACCGACACUGACGCUGAGGCGCGAAAGCUAGGGUAGCAAACGGG